RNAcentral lists this ribosomal RNA (566 nucleotides) under uncultured archaeon. Its description in RNAcentral is "bacterial SSU rRNA". It matches the Rfam family "Archaeal small subunit ribosomal RNA", at positions 326 to 896 of the family's 1478-position model. The record is from RNAcentral.
CGGGGUGCAGCAGGCGCGAAAACUUUACAAUGCCGGCAACGGCGAUAAGGGGACCUCGAGUGCCAGGUUACAAAUCUGGCUGUCGAGAUGCCUAAAAAGCAUUUCAUAGCAAGGGCCGGGCAAGACCGGUGCCAGCCGCCGCGGUAACACCGGCGGCUCGAGUGGUAACCGUUAUUAUUGGGUCUAAAGGGUCCGUAGCCGGCCGGAUAAGUCUCUUGGGAAAUCCAGCAGCUCAACUGUUGGGCUUUCAGGAGAUACUGCCUGGCUCGAGGCCGGGAGAGGUGAGAGGUACUUCAGGGGUAGGGGUGAAAUCUUGUAAUCCUUGAAGGACCACCAGUGGCGAAGGCGUCUCACCAGAACGGACCUGACGGCAAGGGACGAAAGCUAGGGGCACGAACCGGAUUAGAUACCCGGGUAGUCCUAGCCGUAAACGAUACUCGCUAGGUGUCGGCCACGGUGCGACCGUUGUCGGUGCCGUAGGGAAGCCGUGAAGCGAGCCACCUGGGAAGUACGGCCGCAAGGCUGAAACUUAAAGGAAUUGGCGGGGGAGCACAAGGGCGAAUCGC